Molecule: ribosomal RNA, 348 nt
Filed under: Staphylococcus chromogenes
Lineage: Bacteria; Bacillati; Bacillota; Bacilli; Caryophanales; Staphylococcaceae
Description: bacterial SSU rRNA
Rfam family: Bacterial small subunit ribosomal RNA
Source: RNAcentral
UUUAUGGAGAGUUUGAUCCUGGCUCAGGAUGAACGCUGGCGGCGUGCCUAAUACAUGCAAGUCGAGCGAACUGACGAGGAGCUUGCUCCUUUGACGUUAGCGGCGGACGGGUGAGUAACACGUGGGUAACCUACCUAUAAGACUGGAAUAACUCCGGGAAACCGGGGCUAAUGCCGGAUAACAUAUCGAACCGCAUGGUUCGAUAGUGAAAGACGGUCUUGCUGUCACUUAUAGAUGGACCCGCGCCGUAUUAGCUAGUUGGUGAGGUAAUGGCUCACCAAGGCAACGAUACGUAGCCGACCUGAGAGGGUGAUCGGCCACACUGGAACUGAGACACGGUCCAGACUC